GUUAAUACUUACAGGUUGCUUCCUUGGCGCCAUUUUGCAUAUUCUGUGGUAUCAUACCGGAAACAUGUGUUAUGUUUUCGCAAUAUUUUUUUUAAGUUAUGAAUUAUGAAUUUUGAAUUUUGAAUUCUGAAUUUUGAAUUUUGAAUGAUCCUUCUCGGCUUUCGUAAUGAUGUAUGACAGAGACAAAUAACAUUAAAUUGGCAUUUUUAAGCCACUCAUUAUUAAAUAUUAAAAAGCAAAUAUAAUCAUUGAUAGAAGAUUUUCAGCAAAAAAUUACAGGUGAGAGAUUCCGGCUCUUGAGAGCCUCUUGUAUAUUUUAUUUAGGCGAAUUUUUACAUCUUUGAUACCCAUUGUAUUGAAUCAUAUAUAUGUAAAUAAAAUUGUUUUUUUCUAGUUUAAAAAUAAAUUAUUCUGCUGUGUACAUGUUACCGAUUAUCCUGUUGUUAACUGCACUAGUCUAGCGGGUUUCAGAAUAAUUCAUUACUGUAUGAUAAAAGCAUGGAAAUUUGUACAAGGUUUGUUAUGAAAUGAAGCCACGAAAUUAAAAAGAAUAAAUCUGGCCACCAAAUUAAAGAUGUUCGACAUAAGGUACGAGAAAAGAGUAAUACACAAGUUCCUUACAUAUUCAAUGAUGGCAUAAAAUGAAAGCACAGAGUAUAAGAUGUAUUAUCA
This 672-nucleotide long non-coding RNA is filed under the name Mytilus galloprovincialis (Mediterranean mussel). The record is from RNAcentral. Lineage: Eukaryota; Metazoa; Mollusca; Bivalvia; Mytilida; Mytilidae.